RNAcentral lists this ribosomal RNA (250 nucleotides) under uncultured bacterium. Its description in RNAcentral is "partial 16S ribosomal RNA". It matches the Rfam family "Bacterial small subunit ribosomal RNA", at positions 524 to 773 of the family's 1533-position model. The record is from RNAcentral.
UACAGAGGUCUCAACCGUUGUUCGGAUUCAUUGGGCGUAAAGGGUGCGUAGGCUGCGAGGUAAGUCAGGUGUGAAAUCUUGGGGCUCAACCCCGAAACUGCACUUGAUACUGCCUCGCUCGAGUACUGGAGAGGAGACUGGAAUUUACGGUGUAGCAGUGAAAUGCGUAGAUAUCGUAAGGAAGACCAGUGGCGAAGGCGAGUCUCUGGACAGUUACUGACGCUGAGGCACGAAGGCCAGGGGAGCAAAC